GGGUCAGAAGCACAGAGGUUGUGCGAUCGGCUGUUAACCGAUUGGUCGAAGGUUCGAUCCUUCCUGUCCCGCCA
Molecule: transfer RNA, 74 nt
Filed under: Salmonella enterica
Lineage: Bacteria; Pseudomonadati; Pseudomonadota; Gammaproteobacteria; Enterobacterales; Enterobacteriaceae
Also listed under: 3 other names
Description: tRNA-Asn
Rfam family: tRNA
About the family: Transfer RNA (tRNA) molecules are approximately 80 nucleotides in length. Their secondary structure includes four short double-helical elements and three loops (D, anti-codon, and T loops). Further hydrogen bonds mediate the characteristic L-shaped molecular structure. tRNAs have two regions of fundamental functional importance: the anti-codon, which is responsible for specific mRNA codon recognition, and the 3' end, to which the tRNAs corresponding amino acid is attached (by aminoacyl-tRNA synthetases). tRNAs cope with the degeneracy of the genetic code in two manners: having more than one tRNA (with a specific anti-codon) for a particular amino acid; and 'wobble' base-pairing, i.e. permitting non-standard base-pairing at the 3rd anti-codon position.
Source: RNAcentral